GAUCCUGAGAAGGUUUUGUUGAGUUCGGGACAGUAUUUCUUUACCCAUCCUUCAUGAAGAUAAAAAAUGAGGCAAAAUAGACACUAAAAUGGUCUCUGACAUCUCCUCAUGCCACCAGACAAGGAGUAACCAUGGUAACAAGAAGCCUAGAAAAAUUGGGGAAUGAGGAAGACCAGGAAUGAGAGCUCCCCUCAGCCCUGGGGGGACCUGAGUGUCCACAGCUGAGCCUUCUCUGCUUCCCUUUUCUCUUCUGGAUUCUGAUGGAGGAUAUUUUCAUCUUCCUCCCAAAAUCAUCAGAAAGCAUAAGGACAUAUAUAAACCGCUUUGCAAAAAGAGAGUGUAUGGAAUAAAAGAGAAAAUGAAGAAGAGGAGAAAGGCUGGAGUGCAAUGGUGUGAUCUCAGCUCACUGCAGCCUCAACCUCCCUGGCUCAGGUGAUUCUCCCACCUCAGCUUCCUGAUUAACUGGGAUUACAGUUGGAGUCUCACUCUGUAGCCCAAGCUGCAGUGCAGUGGUGCGAUCUUGGCUCACUGCAACUUUCACCUCUGGGGCUCAAGCGACUUUCCUGCCUCAGCCUCCCAAGUAGCUGAGACUACAGGUGCAUGCCACCACACCCAGUUCAUUGUUUUGUAUUUUUAGUAGAGACGGGAUUUCAUCAUGUUACCCUGGGUGGUCUGGAACUACUGAGCUCAGGCGAUCCACCCACCUCAGCCUCCCAAAGUACUGUGAUUACAGGUGUGAGCCACCACACCCGGCCUCUUCUUAUUUUUACAGGAAAAAAAAAUCCAGAUGUGGGAGCCUCUGUCUAUGUUGCUUGGAAUAUAUUGCAGUACAGUAGUGGCUAUGAUAGCCUUUUAAUAGAUUUUUACACCAUGAUCGAGCCCGUACACACACACGGAAAAGUUUAGGAGACCAUGCAUCAUUAUGUGCAUUGCAUUGAAAUAUUUUUUUUUCCAGUUCCUUCCUUCUUUUCUUCUUCCUCAGUGCUUGCUUGUAGAGGCUCAGUACAUUAAUUUCAUGAGCCAAAUGGGUCCUAAUCCAAAAUUUGAAAAACCCUGCUAAGAGAAUGACGCUGCAGCUACUGUAGCCUAUUAACCAGCAAGAAGGUCCUGGGCCCCUGACAUGACGGUCUGGUGUAAUCUUGACUGGACCAGGAAUACUUAGUUCAUGUGGGGAAGGGACAGGAAAUGAAAGCUUUGGUAACUUCAGAAGCUCAACCCAUCAUUGAAUUGCUACUGACCCAGGAAUGGAUCUUUAUUGAGGUUGUCAGUUGGUCGCUAGACUCCCUGGAAAGGCUCAAGGUAGAAAUGAACUGUUUCAAACCAAGCAAGGCUGAAAAAUAGGCCUUUAAAAUCCAGACAACAUGGGUCCUGAGACAGCUAGUGUCUGCGUGGCUUUUCCCGGCCCCCAUGUCCACCCUAUCUGAUGUUGACAAUCCCGCAGUUUCACUGCCACCGUCAUCGACAAAUCUUUGCCUUGUUUGCAUGAAGUUUGGAAAUUAGUCCUUAUUUUACUUCAGAAAAACCACAUCAGCGCAUGGAGAUGGUUCGUCUUGCACUGAGGCUCUCACGAGCCUUACUGCCUGCGAAGACUCUGACUCCAGAAGCGGUUCUCCAUCCGUAAUGGAAAGUCGACAUAGAGGCCAGGGGAGGCGAGGCAGGGCUGGAGCCAUGGACCUCACCUUUGAGGACCAAGAAUGUCUUUCAGUGAGGAGAGGGGCCCACUCACACAGCCUGCCUGCCAAAUCGCAGAACUCUGUAGGACACAGGUGUGAACAUGAGAGUACUUUUCUAAACUCUUGACUGCUGUGCUCCCCCUUUUGAUCAAGAGUCAAAAGAAAAACAAUUUGCUAUGUUUUGCAUCUUCUAUGACUGGGCAAAGUACAUGGAGGUUGACAUGAACAGUGUCAUGUUUAGGUCCCUGAGAACUGAGACCAGAACAAACAAAGGCUUUUAGCUUUCGUGAGAGCCCUAUCCAGUGUUCAUUUUAAUAACAGCGAUCUCAGAAGUAAACUGUCACUUUAUAAAAGCGAUUGUCCAUCAUUCGGUUACCUGGGGCUCAUCCAGACCCAAAGGCUUUGGGAUGGCCAAAGCCAGAAGCACCCCCCGGUCCUGUGUGGUCACCAUGGCUGAGGCCAAAACAAAAAGGUCAUCAGCUUCUAUUUCUCAUCUAGGCAUCGGUCUUCUGAACUUUAUUUAUUGAAUUUACUAGACAUCCAGAUGAACAAUAAAACUCUCUUUUACAUUUGAAAGGUCAAAUCAAGAUUAAGUGAGUUAGAGGAGCAUUAAAGAAUAUCCCUGCAACUGCUCACGAAGUACUGGUGUUGUUUAGGGUUUGUUCUCUGUGCAUGGAGACUCAGCUGGUCACACAGGAAACUUUGUAUAUUCUUAAGUCAAUGCAUUCAUUAAAAAUAACGAAGCUAUUAUCUAUUUCCAUCAUGCUCUGAUUGUACUUUACAGUAUUACAUUGCCACUCCUAAUUUCUCUUGUCUUAGGGCUUUAAUAUGUGAGCCUCUCCUCUGAGGGUAAAACCUCCAGCAGAGGAGGGAGACGGCUUUGCUGUCUCUCACUCCCCCAGUGUAUAGCACUGGGCUGUCCACAGACCAGCUUCCAGGAUAUGUUCAAUAGGUUUAUAAAUGUCUUCAAAAGGAAGGGGUUGUAUAUUCCUAACUCCUUCACAAACUAUUUGAAUCUCUUCAUCCGAUAUCACGUAAAUUUCUAGAACCUAAAUAAAAUGAAUGCUCAAGGAAA
Long non-coding RNA from Homo sapiens (human), 2748 nucleotides. RefSeq annotates it as long independently transcribed non-coding RNA 2668. The transcript has 3 exons. NCBI's taxonomy places the organism in Eukaryota, Metazoa, Chordata, Mammalia, Primates, Hominidae. The record is from RefSeq and is marked validated.